Bos taurus (domestic cattle) is the source of this 1845-nucleotide long non-coding RNA. The record is from Ensembl. NCBI's taxonomy places the organism in Eukaryota, Metazoa, Chordata, Mammalia, Artiodactyla, Bovidae.
GUGGGUACGCGUCCCUGCUGACUCCUCUCACCCCAGAGGGCCAAGGCGGGCUCGUGGAGCCUCCGCCCUGAUGGUGCCCUCGUCGGGGCUGCUGAGGACAGAGGGGGAGGCGGGCGGGGUGGGAGCCCGAUUGGCCGCCUGCUGCCCAGCCUGCCCUCAGCCGCACGAGCAGACCUUCAGGCCGCAGGGCGUAACUUUGAUGAGUCCAGAAUCUCGAGAUGACAGAAGGCCAGGGGUAAGGGAACAGGGUUGGGAGUUCUUUAUAACCAUCCAAAGAGCCUCACUGUGUAGUCUGCAGGUGGCUGCGGGGUGCCCAACCUCCCGGAGGAAGAGUGUGAUGGAAAUGCACAGCCUGCUUCUUGCAGGGAGCCGCCUCUUGGGUGGGGCCCGCCGCUGGCCCCCCCUCUCCUUCCCAUCUCUUCCCCAGCUGCUCUCUUCAAAGGCAUUCUGGUCGUCAUCUUCAUACCAUUCAAAAAAGCCUUUCUGACUUUUCUGGCUAAAUAGAAAUCUAAACAAACUUCAGUCUCAUGCAAAAAAGCUUUUCCAGCUAAACAGAAUUCUAAACAAGUUUCAGUCCGCUUUUAGUGUCAGAGCCGGUGAACUGGGAGUAGGUAACACAGAUAAUCCCACAUUGAUGUCGUCUGUGGAAUAUGAAAGAACCCCCCCACACACACACCUCUUUUCGUCCCUAGUCGUUCCUUCCACAUGCAUCCACCAUGUCCAGCUGACAGCAGGAAGUUCAUGUCUUUCUAAAGACUUGUGUCUCUUCCUCUUACACGAUACGCUCCAGCCAGAGCUGCAAUAAAAUUCUAUGCGGUGCGUUUUCUGUCUUUUUCUUCCCUGAAGCUGGACAUGUGUUCCUAUCCCCUCAUGGUGUUCCUUGUUUCUGUGAGGACCCGCCUUUCUUCAGAUGCGCACUGCUGACUUUUCAGACUGAUUCCUGGGUUCCCCUUUACACCUCUGGCCCCAUGGCCGUCUUUCCUGUGGGACACCAGAACACGUGGAAGAACAGCUCCAGGCCUCUGCCACACAAAUGGGCUGCCAUCUCCAUGGUUGGAGUCCCGGGCCCCAAAGGAGUUAGGGCUGAGAUUGGAUCGCUGCAGGCUUGCUCACCCUGCACAGGGAAAUGUGAAUCUGGUGAGCCUCUCCGCUCAGGUGCGUCCCCCUUGCUGCCGGAGGAGCCCCUGCACUCGCUGGCCCUCGUCCUGGCCUCCAUGGUGGGCGGAGAAUGGCACGGUCCUGGCCCAGCUGUCAGGGUCUUCAGGCUUGAGCCUCUGCCGCUGGCUGGGACCCAGUGGGAACCGUAACCUCGGCUGACACGGAGGGAAGGCAGGUUUGCCGCUUGGCUGCUCUGGAAGCUGUGCUGAAUCCCUGCCCAUCUGUUCUCCCAGCUGAGCCAAGGCCAGAGCUGUCUAGCUCUUGCCAACCAGGGGAUGACACGGAGCGUGGAGUCCUGCAGCCCCUGUCCUCGCUGCCCUCUGCAGCCCCUCUCGUCUGCCAGUUGGACUCCCCGCAGGGAGAUGGCCCUGGGCUCACACCUGCUGUUGGUCCACAGAUGUUCAAGUGACGGUCGAAGCUCCCCAGGAAGAUAUCCUGUGCCCAUCUUCUGUGCCCAGCAGAUGGUGGCGCCGAAAGGCAGCAGGAGCCUGGCUCCCCAGCCGCAUCCCAAAGCUGCCAUCACAGCUCUGCGUGUCCUCCUCCCUGCAGCCUCUGCUGUGAAAACCUGAACCCUCGUUUGUUCCAGCCGCCGAGGCCAGGCUCUAUCGUCCACAACUCCUAACUGCUGCAGAGGACAGAAAUGGGAUCAUGAGUCCCGGGGGCCAAAGGCCUGCCUGUUCUUUUCUU